Long non-coding RNA from Pantherophis guttatus, 606 nucleotides. RefSeq lists it as uncharacterized. The record is from RefSeq and is a predicted model, not a curated record. NCBI's taxonomy places the organism in Eukaryota, Metazoa, Chordata, Lepidosauria, Squamata, Colubridae.
AGUCAGUCAGUGAGUCACUUCAGGGGCAAAGAUGGAAAAUCCUUGGCAUAGUCUUGUACUCAAGAUCACAUCCGACUGAUCAGCUGGGACUCGGGAGGCAGCAAUAGAUUGGGGGUGGGGCCAAAUAAAAGUGGAAAGAAGAAGCUCAAGAGUUACAAGGUUGAUACUGUAUGGAACAAAACUGUGGCUGAACCUAGAGGUAUUCUGCUCCCUCCCAGAAGGUAACAAGGAAAAUAGAUCGUGAAAAGGAUGUGUAGCUCCCAGACAAUCCCGUGGACCCUGCUCAAGCAACGCUUGUAUGCUAUAACGUGGAUAGAAGGGAAUGAACUGCCAAUAAUCUUUUCUGCCAUCCUCACCACUCUCUGCACCGCCUUCCUGUCUGAAGCGGUAAUGCUUCAAAACUGGACUGUGAUGUAAUAUGACAGGAUGCUCUCGAUCAUCCCUUUAUAGAAAGUGAUAAGGACAGAGGGAGGAUGAUGAAGUUUUCUCAUGUGAUGCACAAAAUGCAGGCACUGUUGUGCCCGCUUCACCAGUGUCUCGCUGUUGAGCCACCAAACAAGCCUACUCGUUAGCUGCACAUCCAGAAAUUUAAUGCUGUCAACAUGG